AAGUCGUAACAAGGUAACCGUAGGUGAACCUGCGGUUGGAUCAUUAUUGAUUUUGUUAAAUAAUAACCAAAAGUUUAACAGUGUUUGGUGUCAAAACCAUUCGCAUACACUGUGAACUGUGACUGUUUCUGGGUCCUAAUGCUCUCGAGCGACAGGGCCCGACAUAUUAACUAUAUACUAAUGUCUGAAUAAAUUUAAAUAAAAACAACUUUUGACAACGGAUCUCUUGGCUCUC
Molecule: unclassified non-coding RNA, 235 nt
Filed under: fungal sp.
Lineage: Eukaryota; Fungi
Description: partial internal transcribed spacer region
Rfam family: Eukaryotic small subunit ribosomal RNA (bases 1-46)
Source: RNAcentral